RNAcentral lists this long non-coding RNA (2120 nucleotides) under Phoenix dactylifera (date palm). RNAcentral describes it as "long non-coding RNA (PDAC_LNC008625)". Lineage: Eukaryota; Viridiplantae; Streptophyta; Magnoliopsida; Arecales; Arecaceae. The record is from RNAcentral.
AUAUGUAUUGCAAAAGAUUUUUUCUUUUGAUUUGUCCAAAUCAUGUACAUGACAUUUAAAUAUGAAUAAAGGCGUUAUGUUUUAUUAUAUGCUGUUGAUUAUAUUUAUGAUAAACUCCUUAGAUUAGGGCAAUAGUUUUAAGACUAUGAUGAGAUCAUACUAGUGAGACUUAAAAUCCUAAAAUCCUAAUCUUAAAUAUUCCCAGUCAUUGGUACAUUGAGUCGGGGAUCAAUGAUUACCGGAAAGACUGGCAUGUCUUAUGUAUGCUCGAUGCAGAGGAUGAUUGAUCUCACAAUCAUUUGUGUGGAGACACUAAUACAAAGAUAUGGGUGCUCAUUAGAGCAAUGAGUUCACUGAAUUGAUCUACAAAGAGAAAUCUUAUGAAGUCUUACUUACAUGUCAAAAGAUGAUUCUCUUAGUGGGAGUUGUGCAACUGAUCCUAUGACCUGAGAUCACCAUGGUAUCUUGUGCACAUGAACUCAUAUUUUGGUUUACACUCAUUCAUGACAAUAAGUUAUGUACGAGGUCUUCUGGAUAUGGUGAAUUGUGUACGAAGAUUAUAAGUAGGUCAACAAGGAAUUAAUCACUUCUAGUAAAAGAAGAUAGCAUCCUAUUUAUUCUAAUCAUAUGAUAAAUCAGAAAGCCUUUGAUCAAAGCAGAAUGAAAAUUAGAAAGAGUUUCUAAUAUUCCAUUAUUUGAAUUAUCAUUAAAAGAUUGAGAAAAAUAUGAAUAUGAAAUUGAGUUUGACAUAUAUUCAUACUCAUAUACAUAUUUGGGAUGCAGUUUGAUUAAAGGAUUGAAUUGCAUGGUAACUUGCCACUGAAGGGUAUUUUUGGUAUUUCCAUCAAAUUCCAUAUUUUUCGGAUAGACAUGACACGUUGCUAGACGUCAAUCUUGUUUUAUAGAUUUGAUCAAAUUAAAGAGUUUAAUUCGAUCACCAAUUAGAAAGGAUUCUAAUUAUUAAGUUCGGAUUCGCGCAGUUUGGACUUAAAUCGAUUAGAAGAGUUCUAAUCAAGUUGGGUCAACUCGCACUUACACCUAUUGCUGGCUAAGUAUGGAACCCAAUGGGUCACACACAAGAAAACUUAUCAGGGGUCUAAUUGGAUUAGAUCAUGUUUGCAAGAUAAACAUCCUAGCAGGUGUUGCAAACCUUAGCUCCUAAUUCGAAUUGGAUUCGAAUCUGAUUCGAAUUGGAUUCGAAUCUGAUUCUUAAUUGAUCUAAUUUGAUUAGAUCAUAUUCUAAUAUGGGUUAGCCAAGAGUUGGCACCUAAUUGGCUUGGUUUGAGUCUAAUUGGAUUAGAUUUAAUAAAUUAUUCAAUUUAGACCGUUAGAUCUUGAUCUACCGUUNNNNNNNNNNNNNNNNNNNNNNNNNNNNNNNNNNNNNNNNNNNNNNNNNAGGAUGGCUACCAUAAUUGACCAUUGGAUCUUAAUCCCACCAUUGGAUGAAGACAUAAUGGGUCAAGUGAAUGGCGCCUUGCAUUGGAGCCCUUGGAUCAUCAUCAUGAAAGAUCAAGAGGUGAGGCGUGAUAGACAUGUGAUUAGCAUGUGAUGUUGAUUUGGUCAAAAUAUGGCACCACAUGAAAGGACAUAUCAUUUGAUACACCUCCUCACUUGAUCUGCACCUCCUCUUAUUUGAUAUGGCCCUUUAGAUGAUGCCCUUUCAUGAGAGGAUGUGUGGAUGGGAUGCAUCCCUUGGAGAUGCAUCCCUACACCUAUUAUAAAUAGGUUAGCACUCCAUGGGUUUCAUCAUUCAAUUCACCCCACUCCUCUCUUCUUUCUUUCUUACANNNNNNNNNNNNNNNNNNNNNNNNNNNNNNNNNNNNNNNNNNNNNNNNNNNNNUGGUCUUCUUUAGGACAAGAGGAUUAGAAGUGAUUUUAGAAGGCUAAAGGAAAAUAGAAGGAAGGAAAGCAAGCCAUUAGAGUUCUUUAGAAGAAUUCUGCAUUAAGGAUCAAAAGUCUUUGGAGCUAAAGUCUUGAUCAAGUUUUCGUGUGGAUCACCAUUGAAGGGCGGACACUUAGACGCCUCGUGGAGAUUGUACACUUUGGAUUAGCGUUUAAGGUAUUCUACUAAUUCUGCAUUUAUUUUAUAUCAUUUGAUUAUAAUCAUUAAGGUGAUCUAG